GUGAAGCAGAGCUGGAGGAGAGCGCAAGAGACCGGUAUGUAAGCUAGAGGUUACUCUGGGAGGCCAUAAGCUUUCCUAAAGAGAUGGGUUUUAAGGCACUUUUUAAAUGAUUGAAGACUAGGGGAGAGUCUGUAGGCAGGCUGUUCUAUAGGAAGGGAGCUGCCCGCGAGAAGUCCUGCAAGCGUGAGUUGACCAUACAGGUGCGAGCAGUGGACAGGAGAAGGUCAUGGGCAGAGUGGAGAGACCGAGAAGGGGCAUACCUAAGGAUCUGUGAGGAGAAAUAAGAGGGGCUAGAAUUGUUCAGUGCUGUAAAUGUAUGGGUUAGCACUUUGAAUUGAUUCCUAUAGGAUACAGGAAGCCAAUGAAGGGAAUGACAAAGGAGUGAGGUGUGAGAGGACC
Non-coding RNA from Pelobates cultripes (western spadefoot toad), 399 nucleotides. NCBI's taxonomy places the organism in Eukaryota, Metazoa, Chordata, Amphibia, Anura, Pelobatidae. The record is from the annotation of a GenBank genome assembly.